Molecule: small nuclear RNA, 103 nt
Filed under: Castor canadensis (American beaver)
Lineage: Eukaryota; Metazoa; Chordata; Mammalia; Rodentia; Castoridae
Source: RNAcentral
GUACCCAAUUCAGCAGCACAGAUGCUAAAAUUAGAAUGACAUAGAACUAGCAAGACCACUGCACAAGGAUGACAUGCAAAUUCAUGAAGUAUUCCAUAUUCUU